GACGUAGGGCGCGAGCGUUGUCCGGAUUUAUUGGGCGUAAAGAGCUCGUAGGCGGCUUGUCGCGUCGUCCGUGAAAACUUGGGGCUCAACCCCAAGCUUGCGGUCGAUACGGGCAGGCUAGAGUUCGGUAGGGGAGACUGGAAUUCCUGGUGUAGCGGUGAAAUGCGCAGAUAUCAGGAGGAACACCGGUGGCGAAGGCGGGUCUCUGGGCCGAUACUGACGCUGAGGAGCGAAAGCGUGGGAGCAAACAGG
Molecule: ribosomal RNA, 252 nt
Filed under: uncultured bacterium
Lineage: Bacteria
Description: partial 16S ribosomal RNA
Rfam family: Bacterial small subunit ribosomal RNA
Source: RNAcentral